This 820-nucleotide ribosomal RNA is filed under the name uncultured bacterium. Its description in RNAcentral is "bacterial SSU rRNA". It matches the Rfam family "Bacterial small subunit ribosomal RNA", at positions 604 to 1421 of the family's 1533-position model. The record is from RNAcentral.
AUGGCUUAACCAUAGAACUGCUUGAGAAACUGGUAAUCUAGAGUGAGGGAGAGGCAGAUGGAAUUGGUGGUGUAGGGGUAAAAUCCGUAGAGAUCACCNGGAAUACCCAUUGCGAAGGCGAUCUGCUGGAACUCAACUGACGCUAAUGCGUGAAAGCGUGGGGAGCAAACAGGAUUAGAUACCCUGGUAGUCCACGCCCUAAACAAUGUAUACUAGUUGUUGCUAAGCUAGUCUUGGCAGUAAUGCACCUAACGGAUUAAGUAUACCGCCUGGGGAGUACGGUCGCAAGAUUAAAACUCAAAGGAAUAGACGGGGACCCGCACAAGCGGUGGAGCAUGUGGUUUAAUUCGAAGAUACGCGAAGAACCUUACCCGGACUUGAUAUCUAACAAAUCAUCUAGAGAUAGAAGAGUGUCUGCUUGCAGAAAUGUUAAGACAGGUGCUGCACGGCUGUCGUCAGCUCGUGUCGUGAGAUGUUGGGUUAAGUCCCGCAACGAGCGCAACCCACGUCAUUAGUUGCUAACAGUUCGGCUGAGCACUCUAAUGAGACUGCCUUCGUAAGGAGGAGGAAGGUGUGGACGACGUCAAGUCAUCAUGGCCCUUAUGUCCGGGGCGACACACGUGCUACAAUGGCAUAUACAAUGAGAAGCAAUAUCGCGAGAUGGAGCAAAUCUAUAAAAUAUGUCCCAGUUCGGAUUGGAGUCUGCAACUCGACUCCAUGAAGCCGGAAUCGCUAGUAAUCGUAGAUCAGCCAUGCUACGGUGAAUACGUUCCCGGGUCUUGUACUCACCGCCCGUCACACCAUGGGAGUUGAUNUCACU